AUUGAACGCUGGCGGCAGGCCUAACACAUGCAAGUCGAGCGGGGUUUUCGGACCUAGCGGCGGACGGGUGAGUAAUGCCUAGGAAUCUGCCUAGUGGUGGGGGAUAAACGUUCGGAAACGGACGCUAAUACCCGCAUACGUCCUACGGGAGAAAGCGGGGGAUCUUCGGACCUCGCGCCAUUAGAUGAGCCUAGGUCGGAUUAGCUAGUUGGUGAGGUAAUGGGCUCACCAAGGCGACGAUCCGUAACUGGUCUGAGAGGAUGAUCAGUCACACUGGAACUGAGACACGGUCCAGACUCCUACGGGAGGCAGCAGUGGGGAAUAUUGGACAAUGGGCGAAAGCCUGAUCCAGCCAUGCCGCGUGUGUGAAGAAGGUCUUCGGAUUGUAAAGCACUUUAAGUUGGGAGGAGGGUAGUAACCUAAUACGUUGCUACUUUGACGUUACCGACAGAAUAAGC
This 458-nucleotide ribosomal RNA is filed under the name uncultured bacterium. RNAcentral describes it as "bacterial SSU rRNA". It matches the Rfam family "Bacterial small subunit ribosomal RNA", at positions 30 to 491 of the family's 1533-position model. The record is from RNAcentral.